Molecule: ribosomal RNA, 253 nt
Filed under: uncultured bacterium
Lineage: Bacteria
Description: partial 16S ribosomal RNA
Rfam family: Bacterial small subunit ribosomal RNA
Source: RNAcentral
UACGGAGGGGGCUAGCGUUAUUCGGAAUUAUUGGGCGUAAAGAGCUCGUAGGCGGUUUGUCGCGUCUGCCGUGAAAGUCCGGGGCUCAACUCCGGAUCUGCGGUGGGUACGGGCAGACUAGAGUGAUGUAGGGGAGACUGGAAUUCCUGGUGUAGCGGUGAAAUGCGCAGAUAUCAGGAGGAACACCGAUGGCGAAGGCAGGUCUCUGGGCAUUAACUGACGCUGAGGAGCGAAAGCAUGGGGAGCGAACAGG